CCAGCCUCAACCCAGGGACACGCAGGGCUCACAGGAGACGGGGCUCAGGCUGCCGGAGCUCCAACCAAACUCUGUCCCACUUCACGCAUCGAUUGUCUUGGGCAAAGGUGUUCACCUUUCCGAGCCUCGGUUUCCUUAUCUGUAAAGCAGAGCGACACCAGCAAGCCUGUGAGCAUUGUGUAUGUAGCAGACAUGGAGGUCCUGCAGCAGGAGGUGCUCAAUAAACACAAAGCGAUCGAAGGAUGGGAUGUGCGAGAACCCCAGUCAUGAGCACCCAGGCUGCGACACAUGGCGGUGUGCAUGACCAACUGCCCAACGCUUAUUGUCAUGGUGGGCCUGCCCGCCAGGGGCAAGACCUACAUCUCCAAGAAGCUGACUCGAUACCUGAACUGGAUUGGUGUGCCCACUCGGGAGUUCAAUGUUGGCCAGUAUCGCCGGGACAUGGUCAAGACCUACAAAUCUUUCGAAUUUUUUCUCCCCGACAAUGAAGAGGGCCUGAAAAUCAGGAAAUGAGGAAACUGAGGCUCAGACAGGCCAGGAGUCUCGCACAAAAUAGCAAGUUCACAUCAGCGCCCAGACUUGAAUCUAAGCCCAUCCACCGCUAAAAAGUGUCCAUCAUUCCAAUAUUCCUCAAUAGGCAGUGUGCCCUGGCAGCCCUCCGUGACGUCCGGCGGUUCCUUAGUGAGGAGGGGGGACAUGUGGCGGUUUUUGAUGCCACAAACACCACCCGAGAACGGAGAGCGACCAUCUUUAAUUUUGGAGAACAGAAUGGCUACAAG
This 779-nucleotide small RNA is filed under the name Pongo abelii (Sumatran orangutan). RNAcentral describes it as "processed transcript". Lineage: Eukaryota; Metazoa; Chordata; Mammalia; Primates; Hominidae. The record is from RNAcentral.